This 1467-nucleotide ribosomal RNA is filed under the name Triticum aestivum (bread wheat). RNAcentral's name for it is "partial small subunit ribosomal RNA". Lineage: Eukaryota; Viridiplantae; Streptophyta; Magnoliopsida; Poales; Poaceae. The record is from RNAcentral.
AUGGAUCUUGAGGUCCUGGAGCAUAUACUUGAUGGAAGAGAGAAGCCAAGAAAUCUAUCAUUCACAUUUUUGAAGAAUAUCACUGAGAACUUCUCGGAAGAUCGAGAAAUCGGCCAUGGUGGAUUUGCAACGGUUUAUAAGGGAGUGCUCCCAAAUGGAAACGUCGCGGUAAAGAGGAUAAGGAACAGUCAUUCAAUCAAUGAGACAUUAUUUUGUCGUGAAGUUGACAGCCUGUUGAACAUUGAACAUAAAAAUGUUGUACGGUUUCUUGGCUUCUGUGCUAGCACAGAGCAAACAGCCAUCCAAAUCGAAGGAUCGAAACAACAUAUUUACGCUGAGAUAAGAGAAAGACUACUCUGUUUUGAGUAUAUCAGCAAUGGAAGCCUACAAAAAUAUAUUACUGAUGAAUUAAGGGGCCUUGAAUGGAAUACACGAUAUGGAAUAAUUAGAGGCAUUUGUGAAGGUUUGUAUCAUCUGCACAAGGAAAAGCAGAUAUACCAUAUGGAUCUAAAACCCGACAAUAUACUCCUAGAUAAUGAUAUGGCGCCGAAAAUCACGGAUUUUGGCUUAUCAAGACUUGAUGAAAAGACCAAAACCAUGAGUGAAUACCGUCUUGGAUCAUUUCGAUAUUGUGCUCCAGAAUACCUACACCAGGGGAAGAUGUCAUUCAAAUCAGACAUGUACAGUUUGGGUGUUAUAAUUAUCGAACUAGUGACAGGAGAAAAGGUGAUCCCGCAUAAUAAUAACAACAAUGUACUUAGGAGAUGGAGGCACAGAUGGAAAAAAUCAGGGAAGGAAACACCAUUGGUCUACCAACAAGUAGCAAAAUGCAUCAAAAUUGGGCUACUCUGCCAGGAACAGGACCCGUCCAAACGGCCUUUUAUAUGGGAUAUGAUACAUGAUAUAAGAGAAACUGAAGGUAUUAAUGGAAAAACCAGCAAUUCCUAUGAACAUUCAUUUGGACAGAUAAUCCCUUACUUAGAAGACGACAUGCUUGGCAUUGAGCCACUUGAACUACAUUUUCCUUUUGAGCUUAACAAACAGAUGUCAUGCGCACUCCAGCUAACAAAUGAGACAAACUCUUAUAUUGCCUUCAACAUCCAAAAUACGAGCCCCUUGUCAUACUGCACAAAACCGCAGAAAGACAUUAUGCCGCCACAAUCCAAGUGUACUAUUGAAAUUACAAUGCAACUGCAGGGCAAGGCACCAGGGUAUAUGCAUCGCACCAAUGAACUUACUGUGUGGAGCACCAAACUGAAUGAUAGCCUUGCAGUUGAGGAUAUAACUACAAACAUGUUCAUUAAUGAGGCGGUCAACACGGUUGAUGAGGUGAAUUUGGAUGUGGCUUUUGAUGCACGGCCACAAAGCGAGCUUCUUGAUGUCCACCCUCCCGAGCUUGGCCCUUCCUUGGAAUCCAGAAAGUUUGUAGUUAUAUCCUCAGCUGCAAGGCAAGAGUUGCCAUUAUAA